AGGGAAACGCCCGGUUACAUACCGAACCCGGAAGCUAAGCCUCACAGCGCCGAUGGUACUGCAGGGGGGACCCUGUGGGAGAGUAGGACGCCGCCGAAC
Streptomyces sp. AS58 is the source of this 99-nucleotide non-coding RNA. The record is from Rfam. Lineage: Bacteria; Bacillati; Actinomycetota; Actinomycetes; Kitasatosporales; Streptomycetaceae.